GCAUUUCACGACUCUAAGUCGCUCUGGAUAAGAGCGUCUGCUAAAUGACUAAAA
Molecule: non-coding RNA, 54 nt
Organism: Salmo salar (Atlantic salmon)
Lineage: Eukaryota; Metazoa; Chordata; Actinopteri; Salmoniformes; Salmonidae
Source: Rfam